Oncorhynchus tshawytscha (Chinook salmon) is the source of this 1249-nucleotide long non-coding RNA. NCBI's taxonomy places the organism in Eukaryota, Metazoa, Chordata, Actinopteri, Salmoniformes, Salmonidae. The record is from Ensembl.
UCCAAUCCAAGCCAAGGGGAAGAAAGACAGACAGAUCUGUUGAAUACCUCUAGUGUUGUGAUGGGUCGGGUCUACUUGCCAAUCCAAGCCAAGGGGAAGAAAGACAGACAGAUCUGUUGAAUACCUCUAGUGUUGUGAUGGGUCGGGUCUACUUGCCAAUCCAAGCCAAGGGGAAGAAAGACAGACAGAUCUGUUGAAUACCUCUAGUGUUGUGAUGGGUCGGGUCUGCUUGCCAAUCCAAGCCAAGGGAAAGAACCAAUCUGGAAUUAAGUGUUAUUUUCUUUCAAAUCUCUUUCUUCUUCACUUAAAGAAAGAUAAAGGUUUGGAUCUUUUGCACAACAAUGAACGCAUGUGCCCCUCCCAGCCCCCCCAGCCCCCACCACCACCGAACGACCUGUAAAAAGAGUUUCUUAUUUUACUUAGUAUUUUUCCAAUGGGAAUAAUAUUUUAAAAAAAAUAAACUAAGGUAACAUAUGUGUAGAAUAUAUUGAAUAUAAAUAUUCUCUAGAACAUGAUGAUGCCUCUAGAUCCUGUUGAUGCCAGUAUAUUGAUGUGUUUAGUGUCUCUGUGUGCACCAUCAUUAACUAGCUAGCUUCCUAGACAGAAGUUCAAACUGUCACCUUGCUGAUGACGCUACAGUACGUCCCAAAGGACACCCUAUUUCAGAUCUAGUGUGAUACUUUUGACCAAGGCCUAUAGGACCUGCGGAAGACUAGUGCGGGAGGUGUACUUGUACAUCAAGCUGCCUUAAGCUAAAGAAACAGGAGAUGGGCUCCUGCCUUAUGGGCUUUUCUGGCUCAGACAAGGCUACUUACUUAUGUAGGGUCCUGGUCCAAAGUGUUGCACUAUAUAGGGAAAGGGCCCUGGUCCAAAGUAGUGCACUAUAUAGGGAAAGGGAAAGGGUCCUGGUCCAAAGUAGUGCACUAUAUAGGGAAAGGGCCCUGGUCCAAAGUAGUGCACUAUAUAGGGAAAGGGUCCUGGUCCAAAGUAGUGCACUAUAUAGGGAAAGGGCCCUGGUCCAAAGUAGUGCACUAUAUAGGGAAUAGGGCCCUGGUCCAAAGUAGUGCACUAUAUAGGGAAUAGGGCCCUGGGCCAAAGUAGUGCACUAUAUAGGGAAUAGGGCCCUGGGCCAAAGUAGUGCACUAUAUAGGGAAUAGGGUCCUGGUCCAAAGUAGUGCACUAUAUAGGGAAUAGGGUCCUGGUCCAAAGUAGUGCACUAUAUAGGGAAUAGGGCCCUGGGCCAAAGUAG